This 307-nucleotide ribosomal RNA is filed under the name uncultured bacterium. RNAcentral describes it as "bacterial SSU rRNA". It matches the Rfam family "Bacterial small subunit ribosomal RNA", at positions 28 to 335 of the family's 1533-position model. The record is from RNAcentral.
GACGAACGCUGGCGGCGUGCCUAACACAUGCAAGUCAACUUGAGGGAAGGAGCAAUCUGACCUGAUGGUGGCGCAAGGGUGCGUAACGCGUAAGUAACUUGCCCAAGGUAAGGAAUAACGUCGAGAAAUCGGCGCUAAUACCUCAUAAUGCAGCGGAUCCGCAUGGAUAUGUUGUUAAAGGUUUUACCGCCUUGGGAUAGGCUUGCGUCUGAUUAGCUAGUUGGUGUGGUAAUGGCACACCAAGGCUACGAUCAGUAACUGGUCUGAGAGGAUGAUCAGUCACACUGGAACUGAGACACGGUCCAGA